Molecule: ribosomal RNA, 449 nt
Filed under: uncultured bacterium
Lineage: Bacteria
Description: bacterial SSU rRNA
Rfam family: Bacterial small subunit ribosomal RNA
Source: RNAcentral
GGCCAGACUCCUACGGGAGGCAGCAGUGGGGAAUACUGGACAAUGGGGGGAACCCUGAUCCAGCGACGCCGCGUGAGUGAAGAAGUAUUUCGGUAUGUAAAGCUCUAUCAGCAGGGAAGAAGAUGACGGUACCUGAAUAAGAAGCCCCGGCUAACUACGUGCCAGCAGCCGCGGUAAUACGUAGGGGGCAAGCGUUAUCCGGAUUUACUGGGUGUAAAGGGAGCGCAGACGGCAGUGCAAGUCUGGAGUGAAAGCCCGGGGCCCAACCCCGGAACUGCUCUGGAAACUGUGCGGCUAGAGUACUGGAGGGGCAGGCGGAAUUCCUAGUGUAGCGGUGAAAUGCGUAGAUAUUAGGAGGAACACCAGUGGCGAAGGCGGCCUGCUGGACGAUGACUGACGUUGAGGCUCGAAAGCGUGGGGAGCAAACAGGAUUAGAUACCCCGGUAAAA